GCGGAUGUGGCGAAAUUGGCAGACGCGCGGGUCUCAGAAGCCCGUGGUGGUGACACCGUGGUGGUUCAAAUCCACUCAUCCGCACCA
This 87-nucleotide transfer RNA is filed under the name Acidobacteriota bacterium. Its description in RNAcentral is "Acidobacteria bacterium (rhizosphere metagenome) tRNA-Leu". It matches the Rfam family "tRNA". Rfam says of the family: Transfer RNA (tRNA) molecules are approximately 80 nucleotides in length. Their secondary structure includes four short double-helical elements and three loops (D, anti-codon, and T loops). Further hydrogen bonds mediate the characteristic L-shaped molecular structure. tRNAs have two regions of fundamental functional importance: the anti-codon, which is responsible for specific mRNA codon recognition, and the 3' end, to which the tRNAs corresponding amino acid is attached (by aminoacyl-tRNA synthetases). tRNAs cope with the degeneracy of the genetic code in two manners: having more than one tRNA (with a specific anti-codon) for a particular amino acid; and 'wobble' base-pairing, i.e. permitting non-standard base-pairing at the 3rd anti-codon position. The record is from RNAcentral. Lineage: Bacteria; Pseudomonadati; Acidobacteriota.